GAUGAAGAACGCAGCGAAAUGCGAUAACUAAUGUGAAUUGCAGAAUUCAGUGAAUCAUCGAAUCUUUGAACGCACAUUGCGCCCGCCAGCACUCUGGCGGGCAUGCCUGUUCGAGCGUCAUUUCAACCAUCAAGCCCCCAGGGGCUUGUGCUGGGGCCCUGCGGCUGCCCGCAGGCCCUGAAAACCAGUGGCGGGCUCGCUAGUCACACCGAGCGCAGUAGCACAUCUCGCUCAGGGCGUGCGGCGGGCUCCUGCCGUGAAACCCCCCACUGUAACCCCAAAGGUUGACCUCGGAUCAGGUAGGAAUACCCGCUGAACUUAAGCAUAUCAAUAAGCGGAGG
RNAcentral lists this unclassified non-coding RNA (341 nucleotides) under soil metagenome. Its description in RNAcentral is "partial contains 5.8S ribosomal RNA, internal transcribed spacer 2, and large subunit ribosomal RNA". The stretch from base 1 to 120 matches the Rfam family "5.8S ribosomal RNA", at positions 35 to 154 of the family's 154-position model. The record is from RNAcentral.